UGGGGAAUUUUGGACAAUGGGCGAAAGCCUGAUCCAGCAAUGCCGCGUGUGUGAAGAAGGCCUUCGGGUUGUAAAGCACUUUUGUCCGGAAAGAAAUCCUUGGCUCUAAUACAGUCGGGGGAUGACGGUACCGGAAGAAUAAGCACCGGCUAACUACGUGCCAGCAGCCGCGGUAAUACGUAGGGUGCAAGCGUUAAUCGGAAUUACUGGGCGUAAAGCGUGCGCAGGCGGUUUGCUAAGACCGAUGUGAAAUCCCCGGGCUCAACCUGGGAACUGCAUUGGUGACUGGCAGGCUAGAGUAUGGCAGAGGGGGGUAGAAUUCCACGUGUAGCAGUGAAAUGCGUAGAGAUGUGGAGGAAUACCGAUGGCGAAGGCAGCCCCCUGGGCCAAUACUGACGCUCAUGCACGAAAGCGUGGGGAGCAAACAGGAUUAGAUACCCUGGUAGUCCACGCCCUAAAACGAUGUCAACUAGUUGUUGGGGAUUCAUUCCUUAGUAACGUAGCUAACGCGUGAAGUUGACCGCCUGGGGAGUACGGUCGCAAGAUUAAAACUCAAAGGAAUUGACGGGGUCAUAGCUGUUUCCU
RNAcentral lists this ribosomal RNA (585 nucleotides) under uncultured bacterium. Its description in RNAcentral is "partial 16S ribosomal RNA". It matches the Rfam family "Bacterial small subunit ribosomal RNA", at positions 355 to 1375 of the family's 1533-position model. The record is from RNAcentral.